Molecule: ribosomal RNA, 443 nt
Filed under: uncultured bacterium
Lineage: Bacteria
Description: partial 16S ribosomal RNA
Rfam family: Bacterial small subunit ribosomal RNA
Source: RNAcentral
CCUACGGGAGGCAGCAGUGGGGAAUAUUGGGCAAUGGAGGCAACUCUGACCCAGCAACGCCGCGUGAAUGAUGAAGGUCUUCGGAUUGUAAAGUUCUUUUCUAAGGGAAGAAGAAAGUGACGGUACCUUAGGAAUAAGCCUCGGCUAACUACGUGCCAGCAGCCGCGGUAAUACGUAGGAGGCAAGCGUUAUCCGGAAUGACUGGGCGUAAAGGGUGCGUAGGUGGUUUGACAAGUUAGUAGCGCAACUCCGGAGCUCAACUUCGGAACUACUACUAAAACUGUUGGACUUGAGUGCAGGAGGGGCAAUCGGAAUUCCUAGUGUAGCGGUGGAAUGCGUAGAUAUUAGGAGGAACACCAGUGGCGAAGGCGGAUUGCUGGACUGUAACUGACACUGAGGCACGAAAGCGUGGGGAGCGAACAGGAUUAGAUACCCCAGUAGUC